This 885-nucleotide ribosomal RNA is filed under the name Triticum aestivum (bread wheat). RNAcentral describes it as "partial small subunit ribosomal RNA". Lineage: Eukaryota; Viridiplantae; Streptophyta; Magnoliopsida; Poales; Poaceae. The record is from RNAcentral.
AUGGCGCAGGAGGACGAGCUCGCCGCCGCCGCGGCGGAGGAGGACGCGGCCGCGGCGGCCGCCGACGACGACGGGGAGGAGGGGGAGGAGGAGGAGGCCGGCGGGGCGGGGAGGCCGAGGGCGAGGCUGACGAGGGAGCAGCGGGAGCUGCAUCGGUUCCGGAACGUGCUGCGGAAGGACGACUUCAUAUGCCUCGAGAGGGUCAAGGGCCAGCUCGUCAACAUCCUCGCCGGCCUGGAGCUCCACGCCGGCGUGUUCAGCACCGCCGAGCAGAAGCGCAUCGUCGACUGCGUCUACGGCCUGCAGGAGAUGGGAAAGCGCGGGGAGCUUGGAGAUCGUACAUAUACAGAACCUGAGAAAUGGAUGCGUGGUAAAGGGCGGGUAACAAUUCAAUUUGGAUGCUGUUAUAACUAUGCUACGGACAGGAAAGGAAAUCCACCAGGCAUCAUUCGAACUUUUGUUUCUGAUCCGAUCCCUGAACUAUUUAAGGUCAUGAUCAAGAGAUUGGUAAGGUGGCGUAUUCUGCCAACGGAUUGUGUGCCAGACAGUUGCAUUGUCAACAUGUAUGACCCUGGAGAUUGCAUUCCACCACAUAUAGACAGCCAUGAUUUUGUUCGACCAUUUUGUACUGUUUCAUUCCUCAGUGAAUGCGACAUACUUUUUGGGUCUAGUCUGAAAAUCGCUGGUCCUGGAGAAUUUACGGGCUCAUUUGCAAUUCCUCUGCCUGUUGGGUCUGUGCUCGUCAUAAAUGGCAAUGGUGCUGAUGUUGCAAAGCAUUGUGUUCCAGCGGUACCAUCCAAAAGGAUAUCCAUUACCUUCAGAAAAAUGGAUCCUGCAAAGCGUCCGUUCAGUUUCAAGGAUGACCCUGAACUGCUGAACAUCACU